RNAcentral lists this transfer RNA (93 nucleotides) under Agaricus bisporus var. burnettii. It matches the Rfam family "tRNA". Rfam says of the family: Transfer RNA (tRNA) molecules are approximately 80 nucleotides in length. Their secondary structure includes four short double-helical elements and three loops (D, anti-codon, and T loops). RNAcentral also lists the same sequence under 2 other names. The record is from Rfam by way of RNAcentral. Lineage: Eukaryota; Fungi; Basidiomycota; Agaricomycetes; Agaricales; Agaricaceae.
GGCAACAUGGCCGAGUGGUCUAAGGCGCUGGAAUUAGGAUCUAUACCUUCUAUCCAGUCCGCAAGGGCGUGGGUUCGAACCCCACUGUUGUCA